Long non-coding RNA from Amblyraja radiata (thorny skate), 1194 nucleotides. RefSeq lists it as uncharacterized. The transcript is spliced from 2 exons. NCBI's taxonomy places the organism in Eukaryota, Metazoa, Chordata, Chondrichthyes, Rajiformes, Rajidae. The record is from RefSeq and is a predicted model, not a curated record.
GGAGGGAAGGUGUGAAGAUGAAGUGAGGGGAAGAGGGGAAAGGGAAAAGAGAAAGAGGGAAUGGAGAAAGGGAAGGUGGAGAGGAGCAGAGAGAGUAGCUGGGAACUGGGGAGAGACAAACGGUUGGAGGGAUCGAGAGGAUUAAAGGGAUGAGUGAGACAGAGUGAGAGAGGGAGGAGGCAAAGAAAUGGGCGAGAGGGAAUGAGGGAGAGGGGGAGAGAAAGGGGAUGAGGGGAGAGAGAGAGAGAGAGGGGAUGAGGGAGAGAGGGGAUGAGGGAGAAAGAGGGGAUGAGUCUCAAGGGGAGAGUUCCUGCCAUGAAUUCAAAACUAAUUCUACAGAAUUACCAGCGAUCAACUCCGAGAACUCAACGUUUCAAAAAUUAAAAAAAACGUACAUUGUCUUUCAAAGCGUAUUCACUAUGAAAUUGUUUGGUAUCUAAGAUUGCAAUCCGUAGUCAACACAUAAAAAAUAACGGGUUAAAAUGCUGUGAAGCUUGGUGCGGGUAUUUACAGGGGGUGGGGGGGGGUGAGCCGUUGAAUUCUCCGCAGGCGAGGAUGACUUUACAUCGCACUGGGCUUUGUCAAUACGAUCUGUGCAAUCCUCACUGCGUUAUCCUCACCGACACCCGGCAGCAAGUCUGUUGUAACACUGUACGUCUCGGUGUAAAGCCCCCACUGCCAGCAGGGUCACCGACCAGCACGUUUACACUGACACAUGUUGGAUAGGUCACUCUCCUUCCCUCCCUCUCUGUGCAAAUCUCCCUGCCUCGGUGUCCACCCCUACUGUCUUGAGUGUGCGUGUUUGUGAAUGUGUGUCUGUGUGGGCGAGCACAUGUGUGUGGGUGAGCAUGUGUUUGCAUGUGCGUUUCUGUGUAUGGCUCCAUGUGUAUGUGUGUGUGUGUGUGUGUGUGUGUGUGACUCUGCCUGUGUGCAUGUAUGUGUGACUGCCUGUGUGCAUGUGUGUGUCUGUGUCCUGUGUAUGUUUGUGCAUGUGCACUGCCUGUCUGUGGGCGUACGUGCAUGCUUGUUCGCGUGUGCGUGCACCAACACUCCCUCUCAGACUCACCCCUCAGCAAGGGGGUGGGUACAGGGUGAGAGGGGCUCCAGGCCAGGCGGGUGGGGUUCCCCGUCGCUCUAGCUUGGACCUUGCCCCUUGUCGUGGUGUUGACCCCGCCCUCUCCCUCUGACACCCCC